UACAGAGGGUGCGAGCGUUAAUCGGAGUUACUGGGCGUAAAGGGCGCGUAGGCGGUUGAUUAAGUGAGAUGUGAAAUCCCUGGGCUUAACCUAGGAACUGCAUCUCAUACUGGUCAGCUAGAGUAUUGUAGAGGGUAGUGGAAUUUCCGGUGUAGCGGUGAAAUGCGUAGAGAUCGGAAGGAACACCAGUGGCGAAGGCGGCUACCUGGACAAAUACUGACGCUGAGGCGCGAAAGCGUGGGGAGCAAACAGG
This 253-nucleotide ribosomal RNA is filed under the name uncultured bacterium. Its description in RNAcentral is "partial 16S ribosomal RNA". It matches the Rfam family "Bacterial small subunit ribosomal RNA", at positions 524 to 776 of the family's 1533-position model. The record is from RNAcentral.